UAACGUUUAUAAAUCAUAGUCGUCUUCUAUUAUUAUCAAAUAAAUAAAAGAGAGCAAAGUUUCUAGCACUAAAAUAAUUACCACCACAGGAAGUUAAUUUCAAACGCGAUUUUUUAUAAGUUAGCAGCUAUUAUCAUGCAUAUUCAGAGUUGUUUUGUGAACUUUCAACAUUCUACUAUUAAACUACAAAAAAAUGGAAGAUUUUGCAACGAAUAUAAAACUUAUAUUGAGCGUCGAAAGAUUUUCCCGGUUUUUUCCCGAUUCGCCUUUCAAUCCCUAAUCGCCCCAUUUUACCGGUACUUAUUAGUACCUACACCUAUAUAAUAUACAGUACACUUAUUACACUUGUUUAUGUUGUAUAUUUAUUUUAAGACCCUAGUCAGUGACUCAGUGUUGAGCUUAAAAAGUCCGCAAGUAAGACGUGCUAUCUACCAAUUGGAUAAUAUCUAAUGCCAAUUAAUUAACUGGAAAUCAUGGGAGAUAUUGUAGAAUUGAAUUCCACUGAAGGCCAGGUUCUUUACAGAGCCAACUCUAGUGCCAUAAGAAUUAGAGUUAGCUUUCCAUUAUCAGCAGAACCACAUAUAACCUUUUAUUCAAAAUUUCCACCCCAUCAGGAACUAUAUCAGGCAGCUGUAUAUUGGGGAGGUAUUUAAACUUGUAGACAUAUUAGAGGGUAAUGUUGUUGAUUAUUACAACAAAGACCCACCAACUUCUUUUAUCGAGUUCAAAGAUUUUUGGAUAUCGUGGCACAGUGGAAAAUUUCAAUAUGGUCUGUGUCCUAACAUUGAACCCAUGCGAUGUAUAAAACUUCAAAAUGCAAAAAAAAUUGGUUUUGUAAGUUUUCAUAUCCCUACAAUAAUAGAUGAAGCUGAGGUUAGAUGGGUGAUUGAAAGACCCCCAAUAUUCCUAAAUAGCUUACAUUGCAAAAGUGAUAAGGAAAUUGAGGGUGGUGAACUACGUUGGGUAAAAAUGACAAAUAACAGCUCAUUACCUAUGGAUGCAAUAGUUGGUGGAUAUGAAAAUGAACCUUUAUAUAUUGCUAGAGCAAUACAUUUUAAUUCUCUGACACCGGGAAAAUACCUUAGAACAACAAACAAAAUGUUUGUGCCUUGGGGACAUACUGCAUAUAGAAAAUAUGAUUUUGAGAUAUUAUGUGGGUUUAAUUAUGAGUGGGUUAAAACGAGUGAUAAUUACAUACCAGAAAAUGCAGUCGUCGGUGGUUACUCAGAAGUCCGUUACGAACCACUUUACAUAGGUAGAGCUAUGGUUAAGAAUUUUUUACUUAUUGGAAAAGUUCAUGUACUUUACAAUACAUGCUAUGUACCAUUUGAUAAUAUGGAAAUCGAAGUCGGUUCAUAUGAGAUAUUAGUUGAGAAAAAUGUAAGGCGUGGUCUCUUCCAUGACGAAAACAACAUUGUAAUAAGUAAAGAGCAAUAAGUUAAAAGUUUGUGACGAAGCGACCUGUUACAAUUUAUGUCUAGAGCCGUAGCUAAGCUGACGGUGACUAGAGCUACUUUUGUUGUUUAUAAAGUUCAUUAUGGCUGUGGCGUCUUUAAAUAAGUUGUACAUUAAACAGGCUGUGCUUGCUGUGGAUCAGAAGUUCAUUAUUUUUCAAUAAAAAAAUCCUCACAUA
This is an RNA transcript of Bombyx mori (domestic silkworm), 1633 nucleotides long. RefSeq lists it as uncharacterized. The record is from RefSeq and is a predicted model, not a curated record. The transcript is spliced from 5 exons. NCBI's taxonomy places the organism in Eukaryota, Metazoa, Arthropoda, Insecta, Lepidoptera, Bombycidae.